UACGGGGGGGGCAAGCGUUGUUCGGAAUUACUGGGCGUAAAGGGCGCGUAGGCGGCCUGGCAAGUGGAAGGUGAAAUCCCUCGGCUUAACCGAGGAACUGCCUCCCAAACUGCUUGGCUUGAGACCGGGAGAGGUGAGUGGAAUUCCCAGUGUAGCGGUGAAAUGCGUAGAUAUUGGGAGGAACACCAGUGGCGAAGGCGGCUCACUGGACCGGUACUGACGCUGAUGCGCGAAAGCGUGGGGAGCAAACGGG
Molecule: ribosomal RNA, 253 nt
Filed under: uncultured bacterium
Lineage: Bacteria
Description: partial 16S ribosomal RNA
Rfam family: Bacterial small subunit ribosomal RNA
Source: RNAcentral